Molecule: ribosomal RNA, 424 nt
Filed under: Heterosigma akashiwo
Lineage: Eukaryota; Raphidophyceae; Chattonellales; Chattonellaceae
Description: partial Bacterial large subunit ribosomal RNA
Rfam family: Bacterial large subunit ribosomal RNA
Source: RNAcentral
AUCAGAAGUGCGAAUGCUGACAUGAGUAACGACAAUGGGUGUGAAAAACACCCACGCCGAAAGACCAAGGUUUCCUGCGCAACGUUAAUCGACGCAGGGUUAGUCGGUCCCUAAGGCGAGGCUGAAAAGCGUAGUCGAUGGAAAACAGGUUAAUAUUCCUGUACUUCUGGUUAUUGCGAUGGAGGGACGGAGAAGGCUAGGCCAGCUUGGCGUUGGUUGUCCAAGUUUAAGGUGGUAGGCUGAGAUCUUAGGUAAAUCCGGGAUCUUAAGGCCGAGAGCUGAUGACGAGUUACCCUUUGGGUGACGAAGUGGUUGAUGCCAUGCUUCCAAGAAAAGCUUCUAAGCUUCAGGUAACCAGGAACCGUACCCCAAACCGACACAGGUGGUUGGGUAGAGAAUACCAAGGCGCUUGAGAGAACUCGGG